GGUAAACUUGAAUAUGGUUACGAUGGAGUAGUUUAUUAC
RNAcentral lists this small RNA (39 nucleotides) under Anaerobutyricum hallii. RNAcentral's name for it is "CRISPR_Spacer". The record is from RNAcentral. Lineage: Bacteria; Bacillati; Bacillota; Clostridia; Lachnospirales; Lachnospiraceae.